CAUUAGAGGUUACUGCAGUAGAUGAGUUGGAGGCUGCUGAUCCAGGAGAAGAGUGAGAAAAGAUAAACUCAACAUUGAUGCUAGUGAUGGAAGUGACUCUGAGAGUGGGGCUGAUGCUGCAAUUUGGAUGCUUCCCUGAAGACACCAGCACAGAUCAGGAUGUGAAGCAAUCGGACACCAGAAGAG
Long non-coding RNA from Silurus meridionalis, 186 nucleotides. RefSeq lists it as uncharacterized. Lineage: Eukaryota; Metazoa; Chordata; Actinopteri; Siluriformes; Siluridae. The record is from RefSeq and is a predicted model, not a curated record. The transcript has 3 exons.